GACCUUGCGUCGACAAUCUGAUCGACGGUCAGAUUGAUGGCUGGUGGCCUGUGUGCCACCGGCCU
Molecule: small RNA, 65 nt
Filed under: Halopseudomonas bauzanensis
Lineage: Bacteria; Pseudomonadati; Pseudomonadota; Gammaproteobacteria; Pseudomonadales; Pseudomonadaceae
Description: Pseudomonas sp. BZ93 Pseudomonas sRNA P26
Rfam family: Pseudomonas sRNA P26
About the family: P26 is conserved across many Gammaproteobacteria species and appears to be consistently located between the DNA directed RNA polymerase (beta subunit) and 50S ribosomal protein L7/L12 genes.
Source: Rfam by way of RNAcentral